UUCAAAUUUACAAAACGAAUUAACUUGUCCUAUUUGUUUAGAUUUUUUUUAUUUACCAGUUACAAUGACUUGUGGGCAUACAUUUUGUCGAUAUUGCAUAGGCCACAAUAAAUUAAAUGGUAAAAAUUGUCCUUUAUGUAGACAACCAUUAGGUCAUUCUUCAUGUAUAAACACAAUUAUCUAUAAUUUAGUACGUUUAUUUAAUUUGAGAAGAAAGUCAUUAAAAGUAUACAAAUCAGUAGAAAUUGUUAAUACUGUAGAUGAAGUAUGGUGGUGUGAUAAUUUUAUAAAACCACAAGUUAGUGUAUCUUUAUUUUUACGUAUUUUUUUACAUGACAUGGUUUCAGUUCCUAUUUUUUUUGAUGAUUUAACUGCUUGUGUUAUUGACUUUUUUACUGUUAACAAAUUAUGGUCCAAAGCUAAAUAUGUUUUUAAUAUAAAUGAUUGUAAAGCGUUUAGUGAAUUAAUUGGAUAUGAUAAAGAAGAUAAAGAAGCAACAAAUGAACGUUUACAUAAUUGGGUUGAGCAUUAUAUAACUAAACAUCCAGCUAUGUGUAUGAGAAAACACGAAAAAAUAAUUUUAAAAUUAUAUCAAGAUAGAACACAUCGAAUUGAUAGUCAUGUAUUUGAUUCUACAGUAUUACCAAAUAGAUUACCAUGGGAUGGUGGUAGACAUGCAAAAAGUUUAAUACAUAUGCCACAUUCGUCUGUUUCUUUAUCACAUUUAUUAUUUGUAAAAACAAAAAAUACAAACUUAGGCGUAGUAGAUUGUGGUUCUACUAUUGGUACUAUGAUAAAAGUAAAUAAUUUUCAUACAUUAAAAGAAAAUGAUAUAAUACAUAUAGGAGAUAGAUUAGAAAUAACAGUUUCUAUUGACAAAAAUAAAGCAGGUAUGCCUUACAAAGGUUAUGUUUGGAAUAAAAACGCAAAUAAAGUUUUAGAUAGACAUGAACUUAGCGAACUUAAUCAUAAAACUGCUAAUGGAAUGACCGUUUCAGGUGGACAAAGUGUUCCUGGCGAUAUAACGGGUAUGUAUAUGGGUCAAAGUAUACCAUCUGAUAUGGUAGGAGACACAACUAAUAGAAACAUUUUACAUAGUAGAAGCAGCGCUCCAGGUGAAUUAUUUUUAUCAUCGAAUGGGGUUACUAAUGCGCUUAACGGGGAUAAUACUAAUUCUUGUUUCAACGCGGAUACAAAUGUAGGUGUGAUAGCAGACUCUAGUAUAGCAAUAGGUACAGCAAUAGGUACAGGGAUAGGUACAGGGAUAAGAACAGCAACAGGAACAGAAACAGGUACAGGGAUAGGAACAGAGACAGAAACAGAAACAGGAACAGGAACAGAAACAGGAACAGGUACAGGGAUAGGAACAGGAACAGGAACAGAAACCGGAACAGGAACAGGAACAGGAACAGAAACAGGAACAAACGACAAUGGUAAUAACAUGAUUUACGCUCAAGACGAACAACUGCCUUCCUAUUGUGAAAAUGUUGAAUCUAAUUUAUUAAUAAAAUUUGAUUUCGGCACAACAAAAGAAGAACUGACAUUAAAAACAGAAUAUAUAGAUCCUAAAGGUGUAGUUUUAGGUAGAGGUCCAUAUGCCCAAUCAAGUUAUAAAAAAAUAUCUGUAACGAAUUCAAACGGUUAUAUAUCCAGAGAACAUUGUUUAAUUUAUUAUGAUGGUUCAAAACCAAGUGGAGAAAGAUGGCUUUUAAGAGAUACAAGUACCUUGGGUACUUUUAUUAAAAUCAAGCCUUUUUCAAAUCCAAUUCCAUUACCUAUUGGUUCAAUAUUUAAAGCAGGACAAUGUAAAAUAGAAGUAUGUUCUCAUGAUUAUGCUCAAUUUGCACAGUAUCCUGAAAGAUAUAUAGCAUUACAGAAUGUACAUAACCAUAGGUCAAACACUGACAAUAAUAAUAAUAAUAAUAUUAACAAUGAUGCUAAUAAUAAUACUGGAAAUAAUAACAAUAAUAAUGGUAAUAAUAACAAUAAUAAUGGUAAUACUAAUGCAGGUGGAAGACAAAAUGACAAUGAUAGUAGCGACACUAAUAAUAAUGGUGGUAGUGGUGGUAGUAGUGGUGGUAGUAGUGGUGGUAGUAGUGGUGGUAGUAGUGGUGGUAGUAGUGGUGGUGGUAAUGGUGGUGGUAAUGGUGGUGGUAAUGUUGGUGGUGGUAAUGGUGGUGGUGGUAAUGGUGGUGGUGGUAAUGGUGGUGGUAGUGAUAGCGGUAGUAAUAGAUUCAGUAAUGGGGACAAUUUUGUUUCUAACCUAAGUGCUUGUCUUAGUGAUAUACAAACGGAUGCACGACAAAUUAUUACAGACAAUGCUAAUGACGUUGGCACAAACUUGAUUGAUAGAGGUGGCACUGCUUGUGGAAGUACCGGAAAUAGCAGAAGUAGCAAUAAGUCCAACUAUGUGAUAAACAAUAGUAGUAUCCAUUUUAAUAGUGUCUCGCCUUUAAAAAUGGCCCAAAGAACUUUACAAUUUCCACCUGAUUAUUAUGAUGCAACGCUGCAUAUGAAUAAGUACUCUAUACAUAGUUGUCAUAAUACUGGUAACCAUGGUAGUGAUGAUGUAGGUUUUUGUUAUUUUAAAUAUCUAAACAAACUAAAUGCUGCUAAUAAUAGUUUGUUGAGAGAUUUUCAUUACGUUAAUACAAACUUGCUUCCGAUAGAUAAUGACAAGAAUAAUGACAAAAGUAUUGACGAAAAUGAUGAAGAAAAUGAUGAAGAAAAUGAUGAAGAAAAUGAUGGAGGUUUUAAUUCUUUAAGAAAUAAACAUAACAACCGUUUUACUAGUAAAACACCUGUAAUCGAUUAUAAUGCAUUUUCACAAUCGCUUGAUGGCAACCAUGCCCAUUCGUUUGUAACCAAUCAACAGAUAAAUAGUUAUAAUAAUAAGCACAAUUGUCUAAUAGGUAGAAGCAACAGUAGGGACAGGGCGAAAGAUUUUACAAAUAAAACUUAUGGUGAUAAAAAACGUGAUAAUAAUGUAAACAUAAUGGAAUACCAAAACAAACACAAAUGUAAAAGUAGUAUUAAUAACAUGCAAAUGUUUAAUGGAAGAAGUGUACAUCCUUCUGCUUUAGCUAACAUAAAAAAUGACAUUAUAAAUGAAAAAAAAUAUAGCGGAAGUAGCUUACUUAAAAAUUAUAAAAAUUUUGAUAGUAAUAUUAAUGGAAGUGGUGGUAAUGCUAACAGCUUCAGUGGUGGUUAUACUAUGAUAAACAAGUAUAAUAAUGUAAUAAAUGAGAAUAAUCAUUCCAGUUUUAUUGAUAAUUCGAAUUUGAAUAUAGACAAAAAAAAAAGAAAACACGAAGAAGGUUCUUAUAAUAAAAGCACGGGCAACUAUAAAAGGGAGGAUUACACUGGUUGCAACUGUAACAACUAUAUUAGUAGUAGUAAUAAUACGAAAAAAUCUGACGAUAUAGCACUUUUUACUAAUAAUGAUAAACAAACGGAGUUACAAUCGAAUGACGUUUCUUUUAUCCAUAACUAUAAUAAAAUAAACUAUAAAAAUCGACAAAUAAUAAAUGAUUCUCCCUCCUCUUUUAUGAAACUUUUAAAUGAUAAGUUAUAUACGAAUGAAGAAGCAUUUAUGGAAAUUUUAAAAAAAACAUCUGAUAAAAAAAUAAAAACAUAGAAACGAGCAAAGACACAAACAAUGUAACAAUAACAAACAUUUCGAUCAAAAUUUAUAUCAAUUUCUUCAAUCAUAACUUACAUUUUCUUUAAAAA
Piliocolobus tephrosceles (Ugandan red Colobus) is the source of this 3732-nucleotide long non-coding RNA. NCBI's taxonomy places the organism in Eukaryota, Metazoa, Chordata, Mammalia, Primates, Cercopithecidae. The record is from Ensembl.